UACAGAGGUCCCAAGCGUUGUUCGGAUUCAUUGGGCGUAAAGGGUGCGUAGGCGGCGCGGUAAGUCGGGUGUGAAAUCUCGGAGCUUAACUCCGAAACUGCAUUCGAUACUGCCGUGCUUGAGGACUGGAGAGGAGACUGGAAUUUACGGUGUAGCGGUGAAAUGCGUAGAUAUCGUAAGGAAGACCAGUGGCGAAGGCGGCUUCCUGGCCUGUUCUUGACGCUGAGGCGCGAAAGCUAGGGGAGCAAACGGG
RNAcentral lists this ribosomal RNA (253 nucleotides) under uncultured bacterium. Its description in RNAcentral is "partial 16S ribosomal RNA". It matches the Rfam family "Bacterial small subunit ribosomal RNA", at positions 524 to 776 of the family's 1533-position model. The record is from RNAcentral.